AGGGAAUCUUCCACAAUGGACGCAAGUCUGAUGGAGCAACGCCGCGUGAGUGAAGAAGGCUUUCGGGUCGUAAAACUCUGUUAUUGAAGAAGAACGUGUGUGACAGUAACUGGUCAUGCAGUGACGGUAUUCAAUCAGAAAGUCACGGCUAACUACGUGCCAGCAGCCGCGGUAAUACGUAGGUGGCAAGCGUUGUCCGGAUUUAUUGGGCGUAAAGCGAGUGCAGGCGGUCUUUUAAGUCUGAUGUGAAAGCCUUCGGCUUAACCGAAGAAGGGCAUCGGAAACUGGGAGACUUGAGUGCAGAAGAGGAGAGUGGAACUCCAUGUGUAGCGGUGAAAUGCGUAGAUAUAUGGAAGAACACCAGUGGCGAAGGCGGCUCUCUGGUCUGUAACUGACGCUGAGGCUCGAAAGCGUGGGUAGCAAACAGGAUUAGAUACCCUGGUAGUCCACGCCGUAACGAUGAAUACUAAGUGUUGGAGGGUUUCCGCCCUUCAGUGCUGCAGCUAACGCAUUAAGUAUUCCGCCUGGGGAGUACGACCGCAAGGUUGAAAC
This 552-nucleotide ribosomal RNA is filed under the name uncultured bacterium. RNAcentral's name for it is "partial 16S ribosomal RNA". It matches the Rfam family "Bacterial small subunit ribosomal RNA", at positions 356 to 900 of the family's 1533-position model. The record is from RNAcentral.